CCUACGGGGGGCAGCAGUGAGGAAUAUUGGUCAAUGGCCGGAAGUCUGAACCAGCCAAGCCGCGUGAAGGACGAAUGUGCCAAGCAUUGUAAACUUCUUUUGUCAAGGGACAAAAUCAGGCUCGAGAGCCUUACUGAGUGUACUUGAUGAAAAAGCAUCGGCUAACUCCGUGCCAGCAGCCGCGGUAAUACGGAGGAUGCGAGCGUUAUCCGGAUUUAUUGGGUGUAAAGGGAGCGUAGACGGGAUGGCAAGUCUGAAGUGAAAGCCCAGGGCUCAACCCUGGGACUGCGAUGGAUACUGGUAGACUAGAGUGCAGUAGAGGUAGGCGGAAUUCGUGGUGUAGCGGUGAAAUGCGUAGAUAUCAGGAAGAACACCAGUGGCGAAGGCAGCUUACUGGACAGUAACUGACGUUGAGGCUCGAAAGCGUGGGGAGCAAACAGGAUUAGAUACCCCAGUAGUC
Molecule: ribosomal RNA, 460 nt
Filed under: uncultured bacterium
Lineage: Bacteria
Description: partial 16S ribosomal RNA
Rfam family: Bacterial small subunit ribosomal RNA
Source: RNAcentral